RNAcentral lists this long non-coding RNA (1428 nucleotides) under Ursus maritimus (polar bear). RNAcentral's name for it is "lncRNA (ENSUMAG00000016162.1)". The record is from RNAcentral. Lineage: Eukaryota; Metazoa; Chordata; Mammalia; Carnivora; Ursidae.
AUGCUAGUAUUUGGUAUUGUGUCUUUAAACAUUUCCUGUGAGACACUUGGUGAGUCAUUUCAAACAUGGUUUUCAUUUCUUGGAAAUUUUCUUGAAAUGUGUGUAUACACAUACACACACUUAAGUGUUUUCCUUCCAUCUUCACAGUUCUUUCUGGAUUUCCUGUUAGUCAGAUGUUGGGUCUCCGGGGCCUGCUUCUCGAGGGUGAUCUUCAGUGUAAUCUGGGCACCACGCAGCUAUUCCUUGGCCACCAAGGAGGCCAGUUCAUGCACAAGGCAUCAGGAGGCAAGACUGCAGCUCAGGUCAGUUCCUCUCUGCUUCAUUUCAGGACUUGAAGGUGAAGAGCCCACCUUGUUAGCAUGUGACUGUGUGUUGAGAGCCUGCCAGGAACACCGGAGAAGAGUCGUGGAAAAAGUACACAUAGCAGCUUCUCAGGAGUUUCCUUGGCUGUCCCCAUGGAGUAGUGAGCCUAGGCCCUGGCAAACUGGAGACCUGAGUCCUCAGCAUGAGUCCCCAAUGCCAAAUCUUCUGGACACGUUCAGUGGACACAUAGACUUUUCAGAGUGACUCGAGGUUUGGACCCCCCUGGAGAUCAUCCUAAGGAAAGAUCAAAGACCACUGUUCAGAAGCACAGCUCCAGCCCUAGAGAGGACAGACUCAUGUGUGCCUCAGUGCCCCAGCCAGCUCCCCACGACCCGCGCCCCCCCAGCCUCUGUCGCGGCCCGGGGACUCCAGGAGUCCCCCAGAACGCCGCCGCCCUGCCUGCCCCGGGACCCCCGCCCGUGUCCCCUCUGCCCACUGCGGGGAGCACAGGGACCGGCUCCGGGAGCAGGGGCCCGGAGGGAUCGGGCUUUGCCCGGGAGAUGAGACGGCUCGGCUCCGGGCUCGCUUCGAACUUGCCCAAAUUAAACAACAACGAACCGCGGCCACUCAGCGGCUGACCCAUCUCCUCCCCCUCAGUCCCGUUUUCCGGGGACGGUGGCGAGAAGCGGCAUUUCCUGGUGACACAGUGCGGGCCUCGCGGUUGCGGCGAUUGGGGGAGCCGAGCGGCUCUCGCCUUAGCUCGGGAGAGUGAGAGCGGAGCCUAACAGACUGCUCUUUGGCUGCACAGCCCAAGGGCCUUGCCUCCGGCCUCUCGGCGCGACCACGAGAGGGAGAUGUCGCCGGGAGGGGGCGCCUGCUGCGCGGCUGGGACUCCGCGUGGUGAAGUGUCAGCGUGCCCACACUGGGAGCGGGCCAAGCAAAGAAACAGCGGGUCAGGAGAACCCAUGAAGAGUGUCUCUUUGCUAUGGUGAGCUUCCCUUCGGAACCAGGACUAAGCAAACAUCUCUAUAGCCUCGUGGAGAAGAGCCCAGACUCGGCUCAUUGCUUAGCAACAUAAAGUGCUACUAAAAAUGCAGAAUAAAAGGCAGGUGGUACAAAAGUACA